RNAcentral lists this ribosomal RNA (1149 nucleotides) under Dicyema sp. E9 DS-2016. Its description in RNAcentral is "SSU rRNA". It matches the Rfam family "Eukaryotic small subunit ribosomal RNA", at positions 308 to 1561 of the family's 1831-position model. The record is from RNAcentral. Lineage: Eukaryota; Metazoa; Dicyemida; Rhombozoa; Dicyemidae.
CGCCCCAUCAAUUGCGAUGGUAAGGUAGUGGCUUACCAUGGUUGCAACGGGUAACGGGGAAUCAGGGUUCGAUUCCGGAGAGGGAGCAUGAGAAACGGCUGCCAGAUCUAUGGAUUGCAGCAGGUGCGAAAAUUAUCCACUUUUGGCAUAAAGAGAUAGUGAUGAUAAAUAACGGAUCUGGGCAUUUGUUCAGAGAUCGUAAUGAAAUAAUCGUAAAAGCUUUAUUGAAAGCAAUUGGAGGGCAAGUCUGGUGCCAGCAGCCGCGGCAAUUCCAGUUCCAAUAGUGUAUACUAAAGUUGCUGCAGUUGAAAAGCUCGUAGUUGGAUCUCGGUUUGCUGGCGCACAAGGUGCGCAAGUAGGCCUGUGCUGUAGUUGAGUGCUACGGCUUUACCUUGAACAAAAUAGAGUGCUUAAGGCAAGCAUUCUGCUUGAAUAUCUCAGCAUGGAAUAAUAGAAAAAGACUUUCUAUUGGUUAGCCAGUGAAAGUAAUGAUUAACAGAGACAGACGGGGGCAUUCGUAUUGCACCGCUAGAGGUGAAAUUCGUAGACCGGUGCAGGACGAACUACAGCGAAAGCAUUUGCCAAGGAUGUUUUCAUUAAUCAAGAACGACAGUUGGAGUAUCGAAGUCGAUUAGAUCUCGUCGUAGUUCCAACUAUAAACGAUGCCAACUAGCACUCCGCUAAUAAUGUUUGUUACAUUAGCGGGUGGCUUCCGGGAAACCAAAGUCUUUGGGCUCCGGGGGAAGUAUGGUUGCAAAGCUGAAACUUAAAGGAAUUGACGGAAGGGCACCACCAGGAGUGGAGCCUGCGGCUCAAUUUGACUCAACACAGAAAAACUCACCCGGGCCGAACACAGUAAGGAUUGACAGAUUGAUAGCUUUUUCUUGAUACUGUGGGUAGUGGUGCAUGGCCGUUGUUGGUUGGUGGAGUGAUCUGUCUGGUUAAUUCCGAUAACGAACGAGACUCAAGCCUGCUUAUAAGUUGGUCGAUUCUGGUCGAACAACUACUUAGAGGGAUCAGUGUAUAAAACACUUGAAAAUGAGCAAUAACAGGUCUGUGAUUGCCCUUAGACGUUCGGGGCUGCACGCGCGCUACAAUGAAGAAAGCAGUGGGUGACUUGCUUGAGAAGGCAAGCCAAACCUUAAAAUU